RNAcentral lists this ribosomal RNA (253 nucleotides) under uncultured bacterium. Its description in RNAcentral is "partial 16S ribosomal RNA". It matches the Rfam family "Bacterial small subunit ribosomal RNA", at positions 524 to 776 of the family's 1533-position model. The record is from RNAcentral.
UACGGGGGGGGCAAGCGUUGUUCGGAAUUACUGGGCGGAAAGGGCUCGUAGGCGGCCAACUAAGUCCGACGUGAAAUCCCCAGGCUUAACCUGGGAACUGCGUCGGAUACUGGAUGGCUUGAAUUCGGGAGAGGGAUGCAGAAUUCCAGGUGUAGCGGUGAAAUGCGCAGAUAUCAGGAGGAACACCUAUUGCGAAGGCAGCUCGCUGGGACGUAACUGACGCUGAGACGCGAAAGCGUGGGGAGCAAACAGG